AGCAGUAGCCGCGGUAAUACGUAGGUGGCAAGCGUUGUCCGGAAUUAUUGGGCGUAAAGGGCUCGCAGGCGGUUUCUUAAGUCUGAUGUGAAAGCCCCCGGCUCAACCGGGGAGGGUCAUUGGAAACUGGGAAACCUGAGUGCAGAAGAGGAGAGUGGAAUUCCACGUGUAGCGGUGAAAUGCGUAGAGAUGUGGAGGAACACCAGUGGCGAAGGCGACUCUCUGGUCUGUAACUGACGCUGAGGAGCGAAAGCGUGGGGAGCGAACAGGAUUAGAUACCCGGGUAGUCCCUGUCUCUUAUAC
Molecule: ribosomal RNA, 303 nt
Filed under: uncultured bacterium
Lineage: Bacteria
Description: partial 16S ribosomal RNA
Rfam family: Bacterial small subunit ribosomal RNA
Source: RNAcentral